UACGUAGGGGGCAAGCGUUGUCCGGAUUUAUUGGGCGUAAAGAGCGUGUAGGCGGCUUUACAGGUCCGUUGUGAAAACUCGAGGCUCAACCUCGAGACGCCGGUGGAAACCGUAAAGCUAGAGUCCGGAAGAGGAGAGUGGAAUUCCUGGUGUAGCGGUGAAAUGCGCAGAUAUCAGGAGGAACACCCGUGGCGAAAGCGGCUCUCUGGGACGGUACUGACGCUGAGACGCGAAAGCGUGGGGAGCGAACAGG
This 253-nucleotide ribosomal RNA is filed under the name uncultured bacterium. RNAcentral describes it as "partial 16S ribosomal RNA". It matches the Rfam family "Bacterial small subunit ribosomal RNA", at positions 524 to 776 of the family's 1533-position model. The record is from RNAcentral.